CAAACGGGGACACCCGCACGUAUAGAUGGACAAGAAUAGGCUUCGGCUUAGCGUCUUAGCAGGCGACUCUUCCACGGCGCUCGAAGCGCGUCGUGGUAUUUCGCGUAUUGUAAUUUCAACACGAGCGGGGUCAAAUCCUUUGCAGACGACUUAGCUGUGCGAAACGGUCCUGUAAGCAGUAGAGUAGCCUUGUUGUUACGAUCUGCUGAGGGUAAGCCGUCCUUCGCCUCGAUUUCCCCAAUGGGUUCUCCGGAUUUCUGGAGACUUGUAGGGGUUGGUGGGUUUUUGAUAUGUCGUCUCGGGACGGGCGGUGCAGGGUAGUCGGGUUAGACUUGGUGGAAUUCCUUCGAGUCUGUCUGGCUUGCUUGUGUGCAGCUGUGUGUCGGACGGUGCAGGGUAGGCAGCGCGGACUUGGUCGAUUCGAGGAUCUGGCUGUCAAUAAUAAUGUGUGAUGUGACCGGUCUAGGGUAGGCUGGUUUGUCUUGAUCAAAUUUGAUGUCGGCUCCCGGGCAGACCGGAAUGCAGGUGGUGCAGGGUAGGUGGUUUAGGCUUGGUCGAUCUGGCGUAUGAUUCUCUUGGGUGGCGGUCUAGGGUAGGCUCAUCUGACUAUCGAAGCGAGAUGUGAGCGGGCGGUGCAGGGUAGGUCACUUUUGCCUUUGCCAUGCCGUGAGUAUGGCAGGAUGUGAGGUCUAGGGUAGGUACAGGGUAGGCAGAACUUGAGUUUGGCCGCUCAGAGUUCGAAGUAGGUAUAGGGUAGGUCAAUCUCGCUCGAGCCUGUACUUGCCUAUGCGUGCGAAAUGGUUUUGCGGUUUGGUGGUCGUGAGUUGAUUUUUUGGUUUUUCCAUACUAUUGAAUUUUGCGGGAAUUCAAAAGUGGCUCUGGAGUCCUGUCUGGCGUGCGUCCGACUCGAACAUCGUCGGUCAACAUAUAAGAGGGAGUAUCUGGCCCGGCCGGGGCCCACGGACAAUGCCAGGGUAGGAAAAG
RNAcentral lists this ribosomal RNA (984 nucleotides) under Fusarium hostae f. sp. hyacinthi. RNAcentral's name for it is "partial large subunit ribosomal RNA". The stretch from base 1 to 237 matches the Rfam family "Eukaryotic large subunit ribosomal RNA", at positions 3155 to 3401 of the family's 3401-position model. Lineage: Eukaryota; Fungi; Ascomycota; Sordariomycetes; Hypocreales; Nectriaceae. The record is from RNAcentral.